CAUCAUUUCCCAUGAGAUCUGCGAGCGCGUUGGACGUCCUGAAUGUAUGCCUCCAUGAGACGUUGAUACCCCUGCAAAUGAAUUCAAUAUCAUCAAAGAUCGAAACUAUAUACCAAGGUGGUAUAGACUUUCCGGAUGCCCAAUAUAUAAUUUUGUAUGCGUCCCCUUUAACUAUCAAGUGGGAACCCCAAGAGGGGUUAAAAAGCUUGAGCCCUAUCAGCAGUGCCAUUGCUUCAGCAUGUUGUGAAUCAGUAUAGCCAAGGGGUUCAGCGUACGUGAGCAAAAUAUGCCUUUCAUGAUCUCGGAAUACUCCCCAACCCCAGCUGGCCUUGGGUUGCCCCUUGAGCAACCAUCAAAAUUGAGUUUGAUAGUUCCUCUCGGGGGUGGUUGCCAGUUGUUGGGUUUUUGAGAUUUCCUUGGUUGAUGAAAAAUGAUGUUAUAGAAAAAGCUGUAUUAAAGGAAAUUAAAAAAAAAGCAGGACACUCAGAAACUGGAUUUCAAUUCUAUAAAGCUCAGUCGGAAAAUAAGGAAGCAUACACAUUUAUCUGCAACAAGUCAGAAAAGUCAAUGAGAAUAAAUGGCUUCUUUUCAUGCCUGCAAUACAAAUAAGAACUUAGUAAAAGAUCAUAGAUUCUCACAACGAAGAAGAAUCUAAUAAGUCUAAUACUAAAGAAAUGGCCUUAACUUUCAAUCAAAUGCAUGAAUCAUCUCAUGUAUUUACCAUGACUGACCUAAAACACA
Molecule: long non-coding RNA, 741 nt
Filed under: Amborella trichopoda
Lineage: Eukaryota; Viridiplantae; Streptophyta; Magnoliopsida; Amborellales; Amborellaceae
Description: long non-coding RNA (ATRI_LNC003105)
Source: RNAcentral